GAUGAACGCUGGCGGCGUGCCUAAUACAUGCAAGUCGAGCGAACGGACGAGAAGCUUGCUUCUCUGAUGUUAGCGGCGGACGGGUGAGUAACACGUGGAUAACCUACCUAUAAGACUGGGAUAACUUCGGGAAACCGGAGCUAAUACCGGAUAAUAUUUUGAACCGCAUGGUUCAAAAGUGAAAGACGGUCUUGCUGUCACUUAUAGAUGGAUCCGCGCUGCAUUAGCUAGUUGGUAAGGUAACGGCUUACCAAGGCAACGAUGCAUAGCCGACCUGAGAGGGGGAUAGGCCACACUGGAACUGAGACACGGUCCAGACUCCUACGGGAGGCAGCAGUAGGGAAUCUUGCGCAAUGGGCGAAAGCCUGACGGAGCAACGCCGCGUGAGUGAUGAAGGUCUUCGGAUCGUAAAACUCUGUUAUUAGGGAAGAACAUAUGUGUAAGUAACUGUGCACAUCUUGACGGUACCUAAUCAGAAAGCCACGGCUAACUACGUG
Molecule: ribosomal RNA, 497 nt
Filed under: uncultured bacterium
Lineage: Bacteria
Description: partial 16S ribosomal RNA
Rfam family: Bacterial small subunit ribosomal RNA
Source: RNAcentral